This 308-nucleotide long non-coding RNA is filed under the name Rattus norvegicus (Norway rat). RNAcentral's name for it is "long non-coding RNA NONRATT012287". Lineage: Eukaryota; Metazoa; Chordata; Mammalia; Rodentia; Muridae. The record is from RNAcentral.
CCGGAGCUGAGCCGGAGCGCGCGAGUAGCAUCCUUGGUGGCAGAUCACCCAAGGCCGGAGCACUGCUGCGCUCCAGCUCAGGGAGGGUGACUCAAGAGCCUGACCACGGCAGGACCCCACUGGCCCCGAGCCCACCCCUACCCGGCGUAGCCCAGCCCCGCGCGUCUGCUGGCAGUAGCCGCCGCUGCCGCCAGGAUGGACGUGUUCAUGAAGGGCCUGUCCAUGGCCAAGGAGGGCGUUGUGGCUGCAGCUGAGAAAACCAAGCAGGGGGUCACCGAGGCGGCAGAGAAGACCAAGGAAGGCGUCCU